Molecule: ribosomal RNA, 254 nt
Filed under: uncultured bacterium
Lineage: Bacteria
Description: partial 16S ribosomal RNA
Rfam family: Bacterial small subunit ribosomal RNA
Source: RNAcentral
UACGAAGGGUGCAAGCGUUACUCGGAAUCACUGGGCUUAAAGCGCGUGUAGGUGGGGCGGAACGUCGGCCGUUGAAAGCCCCCGGCUUAACCGGGGAAGCGGCGCCGAUACGACCGCCCUCGAGGGACGUAGGGGGAGCUGGAACUUCCGGUGGAGCGGUGAAAUGCGUUGAGAUCGGAAGGAACGCCCGUGGCGAAAGCGAGCUCCUGGACGUUUUCUGACACUGAGACGCGAAAGCCAGGGGAGCGAACGGG